Molecule: ribosomal RNA, 440 nt
Filed under: uncultured bacterium
Lineage: Bacteria
Description: partial 16S ribosomal RNA
Rfam family: Bacterial small subunit ribosomal RNA
Source: RNAcentral
CCUACGGGGGGCUGCAGUGGGGGAUAUUGCACAAUGGGGGAAACCCUGAUGCAGCGACGCCGCGUGAGUGAAGAAGUAUUUCGGUACGUAAAGCUCUAUCAGCAGGGAAGAAAAUGACGGUACCUGACUAAGAAGCCCCGGCUAACUACGUGCCAGCAGCCGCGGUAAUACGUAGGGGGCAAGCGUUAUCCGGAUUUACUGGGUGUAAAGGGAGCGUAGACGGCAGCGCAAGUCUGGAGUGAAAGCCCAUGGCUUAACCAUGGAACUGCUUUGGAAACUGUGCAGCUAGAGUGCAGGAGAGGUAAGCGGAAUUCCUAGUGUAGCGGUGAAAUGCGUAGAUAUUAGGAGGAACACCAGUGGCGAAGGCGGCUUACUGGACUGUAACUGACGUUGAGGCUCGAAAGCGUGGGGAGCAAACAGGAUUAGAUACCCUGGUAGUC